RNAcentral lists this ribosomal RNA (404 nucleotides) under Verrucomicrobiota bacterium. RNAcentral's name for it is "Verrucomicrobia bacterium partial 16S ribosomal RNA". It matches the Rfam family "Bacterial small subunit ribosomal RNA", at positions 355 to 776 of the family's 1533-position model. The record is from RNAcentral. Lineage: Bacteria; Pseudomonadati; Verrucomicrobiota.
UGGGGAAUAUUGCACAAUGGGCGCAAGCCUGAUGCAGCAACGCCGCGUGAACGAUGAAGGUUUUCGAAUCGUAAAGCUCUGUCCUAUGAGAAGAUAAUGACGGUAUCAUAGGAGGAAGCCACGGCUAACUACGUGCCAGCAGCCGCGGUAAUACGUAGGUGGCAAGCGUUGUCCGGAAUUAUUGGGCGUAAAGCGCGCGCAGGUGGUUUAGAAAGUCUGAUGUGAAAGCCCACGGCUCAACCGGGGAGGGUCAUUGGAAACUAAUAAACUUGAGUGCAGGAGAGAAAAGUGGAAUUCCUAGUGUAGCGGUGAAAUGCGUAGAGAUUAGGAGGAACACCGGUGGCGAAAGCGGCUUUUGGUCCUGCAACUGACACUGAGGCGCGAAAGCGUGAGGAGCAAACAGG